CCCUUAGAUGUUCUGGGCCGCACGCGCGCUACACUGAUGCACUCAACGAGUCUCCACCUUGACCGAAAGGUCCGGGAAACCUUCGAACUUGCAUCGUGAUGGGGAUAGAUUAUUGCAACUAUUAAUCUUCAACGAGGAAUACCUAGUAGGCGCAUGUCAUCAGCGUGCGUCGAUUACGUCCCUGCCCUUUGUACACACCGCCCGUCGCUCCUACCGAUUGAAUGGUCCGGUGAAGCCUCCGGAUUGGCGCGCACCUCGGUGCCGCCGAGAAGUUGGCUAAACCUUACCAUUUAGAGGAAGGUGAAGUCGUAACA
RNAcentral lists this ribosomal RNA (314 nucleotides) under uncultured eukaryote. RNAcentral describes it as "partial 18S ribosomal RNA". It matches the Rfam family "Eukaryotic small subunit ribosomal RNA", at positions 1470 to 1796 of the family's 1831-position model. The record is from RNAcentral.